This 479-nucleotide ribosomal RNA is filed under the name uncultured bacterium. RNAcentral describes it as "partial 16S ribosomal RNA". It matches the Rfam family "Bacterial small subunit ribosomal RNA", at positions 28 to 507 of the family's 1533-position model. The record is from RNAcentral.
GAUGAACGCUGGCGGCGUGCUUAACACAUGCAAGUCGAGCGAAGCGCUUACGACAGAACCUUCGGGGGAAGAUGUAAGGGACUGAGCGGCGGACGGGUGAGUAACGCGUGGGUAACCUGCCUCAUACAGGGGGAUAACAGUUGGAAACGGCUGCUAAUACCGCAUAAGCGCACCGUAUCGCAUGAUACGGUGUGAAAAACUCCGGUGGUAUAGGAUGGACCCGCGUCUGAUUAGCUAGUUGGAGGGGUAACGGCCCACCAAGGCGACGAUCAGUAGCCGGGCUGAGAGGGUGAACGGCCACAUUGGGACUGAGACACGGCCCAGACUCCUACGGGAGGCAGCAGUGGGGAAUAUUGCACAAUGGGGGAAACCCUGAUGCAGCGACGCCGCGUGAAGGAAGAAGUAUCUAGGUAUGUAAACUUCUAUCAGCAGGGAAGAUAAUGACGGUACCUGACUAAGAAGCCCCGGCUAACUACGUG